RNAcentral lists this long non-coding RNA (464 nucleotides) under Chinchilla lanigera (long-tailed chinchilla). Its description in RNAcentral is "lncRNA (ENSCLAG00000024268.1)". Lineage: Eukaryota; Metazoa; Chordata; Mammalia; Rodentia; Chinchillidae. The record is from RNAcentral.
GCAAAACAGUAUUCAGGUCAAUAGGUAGCUAAUUCUAAAUCACAUUGCACUUUAUCUUAUGUCUUCACAUAGGUCCAAGAGCAGAACUACUUGACUCCAACAUUAAAAUCCUCUGGAAAAAAUCUCCAGCAGAGCUUGUCUCCCAGCCCUGUCUGUACAUUCACCUCAAUGGAUAGUACAUUUUUACCACUCACAAUAGAAGGAAACACUGGCCUCAAAAGGCAAAAAGUCACAGGCAAAAGAAAUAUCCCUAGAAGACCGUGAAAAUACAAUUUCCUUUAUGACAGGUAGCAAAAUAUCUUCUGUCACUUCUGGGGUUCUCAAUGCCCCUCUGUGCAGCAUUCAUAGCAUUCGAGUAUAUUAAGCAUUCCCAUCAUUUCUGUGUGGCCCGGCCUAUGUUCUAAUCCUAUGUAUUAGUACAGCUAACCACAGCUCACUCAGCACUGCUGUUUGCACAGCUGGAC